CAGUCUUAGUUGCAUAAACAGGUUAAAAAUCAUAGAGUGACUGAUAACCAUAUAUUGUACUUCAUUGAAACGUAAGAAUAAGAUGAGAGAAAGUUAAAUAUCAGGAGGGCAACUCAAAUGAAGGAGGAGGAGCGCUGAAGGGCUAGAGUGAAUCACUGCUGAGGAAACUGAUUGGAUCAUAUUCGUUGACAUACAUUUAGAAAACACAAUCCUUCUGGGGAAAUGGAGAGUGCACGCUCUCGUGUUUGUCAACGUCACCACAGCACCUCUACAUGUUGGAUUGGGGAGUCUAAUGUAUGUAAGGGGGCGAUGGCGGACAUACUGCAUGCUGGUUCGGGUAAGAUUUUUGCACACAACAUGACAGUGCAAUUUGGUGGUUCAGGGGGAACAGUCCCUCUAGUGAGGAUGAGAGAAAUCGGGGGGUGGAACAAAAGGUUCCCAUGUGGCUCAGUUGGUAGAGCAUGGCACCUGCAAUGCCAGGGUUCGAUUCCCAUGGGGACCAGUAUGAAUAAAGUAUGAACUUGUACGCGCUCCGGAUAAGAACGUCUGCUAAAUGACAAAAAAAAAAAGGGGGAAAGAGUUAGCGUUUUGCUGCUACUGCUUCUCAGAGUAGAGACCCCUGAACAUAUAUUUCUACAACCCCCACUACGACUCAUCUCUUAGCCACGUCCUAUUCCUGUCCCCACCCGCCUCUUCUCCAGUCUAGCUGUGUCUGACAAAGGGAUAGACUGUGUGCUACGUGCAUUCUGCCGCCCUGCUGCGUUGAGGAAGAGGUCGCUUCAUCUCUUCUCUACUAAAAAAAAAUAAACACAAUUUCGUUGGCAGUAAUAGCCCCGGUUGUGUGUGCUCAACCAGCCGCCGAGGAAGAGACUGUGGGAAGCUUGAGCGUUCUCCCCUCCCUCCUGCCACAAGGACCCGGCCGCUCUCUCUUUCCGCUUGGUUAUGCAAUGCACGUCUCUCCCACGGCUUGCACAGGGGACCCGCCACAACACAGCCGCCACCAGCUGCAGGUGCAGACCAACAUAGCAACAGCUACGCAGCAGCACUCAGGCUUUCCAGCUCUCUGGGAUUUUACUGUUGUACUUGGCUCUUUGGAAUACCACUUGCUGAGCGGUGGGCUGUCUGUAGUAGCCGCCGCAAGCGCUAGCGUCUCCAGAGUAACCAUGCGCGACUGGGCCUCCGGGUUUCAGCGGCAGGAGAUAGAGAGACGCCUCUGAAAGGCACUAAUUGCUCUGCUCCCGAAGGUGGGAAGCAAGAAAGGAGGAGAGAAGAGGGGGCGUGUACAUUUGUCACAGAGACUGUGGCGCUCGCUCUUUGAGCUGCUAAGAGGGUCAAAAAGACAAGAAGAGCUGAGGAGGAGGAAGAGGGGGGCUGUGGUGGAAUUUGGAAUUGGAAAGAGAGGGGCGGGAGGAUGGGAAUCAUAGUGGGGAGGGAGGGGGAGCUUAUGGGGAGAGGGUUUCUCCAAGCCCCCUAGUGCUUCAGCUGUGGUGGAGGAGACCUGAGGAAUAAAACAACAAAAGCAAAAAACGGAGACUAUAGCGCAACCAACACCAAGGCAGCAUUUAACCCAGGGGGUGGCGCAGAGGACUGGAGAAUUCAUACGGCAAGAAGGGGGUGAUUUUUCACAGAGAGCUGUUUCUGCGCAGAGCCACGCACCAAGGCGCAGUUGGGAGCCAGGAUCUCCUUUUCCUUUUCAUUCCUUCUCUCCGACGCUGGGAGCGAGGCUACGCAGCCAGCCUCCCCCGCUUCCCAGUAAUGCAGGCUCCUGUGUGUGGCCAUGCUUCCCCGCUCAGGACCCAAAAGCAUGCUGGAUGUCACCCCACUCUUCACGCCAUAGGAUAAGUGCCAGCAGCACCCCUGCCAGGUUGAGCGAGCAUUAUGGCCAUGGGUCCCACGGUCAUAACUAUUGAGGAGGUGCGGGCGCUGGAGAGUAAGGAGGAGCAGGAGGAGUCCAUUUUGGCCUUGCUGGGCAUCGUUGGCACCUUCCUCAACCUCUUUGUCAUCGUCUUUGUUUACAUAUACACUGUCGUGUGACUUAAGCCAGAGUCGGAGUGGUCCUCCAAACGACAAGGCACAAACCAAGAUUCCUUUUAACCCUAAAUCAACAUAUACUGGAUUUGAAAACCAGAGCUCCUCCUCCCCUUAACUUUAUACUAGUUAAAAACGACAUGAGCAGUUUCCCAACACAGAGAGUGAGGGUGGACAGUUAUGUGGCGGAGACGUCUCACAGCCACAAACCAGGGAGAUAACAGUGAGCUGGUGGCUACAUCAGGACCAUAGCUGUGCUGGAUCUGGAUCCAGGAUGGGCAGACAGACACUGGCCCUACCCCAGCCAGGGUUCACUUUCCCAGGCUACAGGCCAGCACAGCCUGGAGUGGAACAUCACCUUGGACUCAUUGGCGUGAUGAGGGAAACAGUGUUACUGACAAAUCUCCUUUGUCAAAUGGAUUAUAAAAACGGAAUAAGGGACACUGAUGUCACUGGCCUGGAUGGUUCAAGGAGCAUGGCGUGGAGGAGGCAGUGUAUGCAAAGAACACUGGGAAGCCAUUACAGAUGAACUGUACCUCACCGUAUCACAUUGGUAAUCUUCCGGGUACAGCAUUUUAAACUGCUUGGUGGGAUGUCACAGCGCACGUUACCCCGGCAAUGUGGCUCUGGAGGAGCUUUAAUGUAAUGUGCUGCUUGCCGUCAGAUAGGCCACACACGCGCUCGCACACACACACACACACACACACACACACACACACCCCAAAACCAAAGGGUUAGUCACCGCUUCUCAUGAUUUGACAGAUCACAACAGAGCGAUCUCUAUUGUCUGUAUCUCGCUCCCGGCAAGAAGAGUGGCAAUGACUAGGAAACAUUUCUAUUCCAAUUGACCACCUGGGACUUCAAAACCAAACUGGAGAUCUGCAAUAAAAAGGGAAGUGGAGAGAAAGACCAAUAGGAGAGCCUGCGAUAGGAGAGCCUGCGGUGGAGAUGAAAUCAUCCGCAGGGGUGGAAAGGACCUUGUGGGCACCAGAAAGAAAAGCUCCAUUCUGCAUUUACUAAAACAUAAGGCCUGACUUACACUGUCUCUUUCUGCAUAUUUUUCCACGUUCUGUUCGGUUAUUGGGGGGUGGGGGGACUGACGUAUUUGUUCAUGUUGAUUUCAGGGUAGUGUUAGUAAUCCUGUUUCUGUAUAAAAAAAUGUAAAGCUUUUAUAAAUAUAUGGAUAAACUCUAGAUGUACUGUGCUAUAGGGAAAAUGUAAACAAUAAAGUUAGAAUGUAUGAAUUGGA
RNA transcript from Oncorhynchus mykiss (rainbow trout), 3277 nucleotides. It is a transcript of the gene named protein TUNAR pseudogene, with no coding region annotated. NCBI's taxonomy places the organism in Eukaryota, Metazoa, Chordata, Actinopteri, Salmoniformes, Salmonidae. The record is from RefSeq and is a predicted model, not a curated record.